GACAGAGGGUGCAAACGUUGCUCGGAAUUACUGGGCGUAAAGCGCGUGUAGGCGGACGUGCAAGUCAGGUGUGAAAUCCCUGGGCUCAACCCAGGAACUGCAUUUGAAAUUGCAUGUCUAGAGUGUCGGAGAGGGAAGCGGAAUUCCUGGUGCAGAGGUGAAAUGCGUAGAGAUCCGGAGGAACCCCAGAGGCGAAGGCGGCGUCCUGGCUCGCAUCUGACGCUCAGACACGACAGCAUGGGGAGCGAACGGG
Molecule: ribosomal RNA, 253 nt
Filed under: uncultured bacterium
Lineage: Bacteria
Description: partial 16S ribosomal RNA
Rfam family: Bacterial small subunit ribosomal RNA
Source: RNAcentral